This 210-nucleotide ribosomal RNA is filed under the name uncultured bacterium. RNAcentral's name for it is "partial 16S ribosomal RNA". It matches the Rfam family "Bacterial small subunit ribosomal RNA", at positions 524 to 727 of the family's 1533-position model. The record is from RNAcentral.
UACGUAGGGGGCAAGCGUUGUCCGGAUUUAUUGGGCUGAUAAAGAGCGUGUUAGGCGGCCAGGUAGGUCUGCUGAUGAAACUCGAGGCUUAACCUCGAGCUGUCGGCGGAAACCAUCUGGCUAGAGUCCGGAAGAGGAGAAUGGAAUUCCGGUGGUAAGCUGGUGAAAUGCGCAGAUAAUCGGGAAGAACACCCGUGGCGAAGGCGGAUC